GACGAACGCUGGCGGCGUGCUUAACACAUACAAGUCGAACGGAAAGGCCCUGCUUUUGUGGGGUGCUCGAGUGGCGAACGGGUGAGUAACACGUGAGUAACCUGCCCUUGACUUUGGGAUAACUUCAGGAAACUGGGGCUAAUACCGGAUAGGAGCUCCUGCUGCAUGGUGGGGGUUGGAAAGUUUCGGCGGUUGGGGAUGGACUCGCGGCUUAUCAGCUUGUUGGUGGGGUAGUGGCUUACCAAGGCUUUGACGGGUAGCCGGCCUGAGAGGGUGACCGGCCACAUUGGGACUGAGAUACGGCCCAGACUCCUGCGGGAGGCAGCAGUGGGGAAUAUUGCACAAUGGGCGGAAGCCUGAUGCAGCAACGCCGCGUGCGGGAUGACGGCCUUCGGGUUGUAAACCGCUUUCGCCUGUGACGAAGCGUGAGUGACGGUAAUGGGUAAAGAAGCACCGGCUAACUACGUG
Molecule: ribosomal RNA, 468 nt
Filed under: uncultured bacterium
Lineage: Bacteria
Description: partial 16S ribosomal RNA
Rfam family: Bacterial small subunit ribosomal RNA
Source: RNAcentral